Molecule: long non-coding RNA, 6961 nt
Organism: Amaranthus tricolor (Joseph's coat)
Lineage: Eukaryota; Viridiplantae; Streptophyta; Magnoliopsida; Caryophyllales; Amaranthaceae
Exons: 3
Source: RefSeq, a predicted model, not a curated record
UCAUUAUCCGUAACCCUGCUUACCCUAUUAUGACAAUACUAUUCUGAUCAUAACUUCCUCAUUCCCUAACCUUAAUUUCGAUUUGGCUAGCUUCAUCUUCUUCCCCUUCUCAUCAGUAGGAGGCUUCACUCAAUCUUUUGGCUUCAUCUACAAUCCAACUUGUGGCUUCAUCUCUUCUAACUCAUAUUUCGGUCCAAACGUACGUAUGAAGAGUAUUUGAACUCUUUGCAAAAUGAAGUGGGAGCCCAUCAAAAUGCUUUUAACUUCGACAUUGAAGAAAAUGAUGAAGAUGAUGUCAUGUGUAGGCAGAAAGUAAUAAACUUCAAUUACACUUCAAUCCGGCCCUUGUGCCUAUUCAGGAAGGCUUGAAUGAUGAACAAGUUGGUGAAAGGUUAAGAUGGUAUAAACGAUGUCUGAGGAUGAAAUAUAUCAAUGAACAAACAACAAAGGAGGAUUUAUAUAACUUACCAUCGGCAGAUGAAGGAAAAGAAAACGAGCUUACUCGUCCAAAAGAAGUAGGUGAUGCAAUGUAACAUGAAUUUGUGGAUUGGUGUUUUUCAGAUAAGUUCAAGGUAAUAGUUUACACAUUUACUAAUAAAGUUUACACAUUUAUUUGUUGAAUAAUGAACUUAAUUCUAUACAUUUGUUGAUAGAAAUAAUCUAAAGUUGGAAAGUGUUUCUAGCAGGCAUUGGAUUUGAGAAUUGAAAUGUCUCAGGAAUUGAAAUUUGUCCCAUCUUAAGGUUUUUGCUGUAGAAACUAUUGAUUUAGUAUUCUCAGCAUGAACCUCUAUAAAAAUAGUUUCUUCUUUUGAAGAGGCCUCAUGUAUAAAUUUUGGAUUAACGGUGGAACUCAUUAAUCUAAAAUAAAUACGAAAAACAAUUGCAAAAUUUCUAUCAAACUCUUUAAAUUUAUUAUUUAAAAUUUGAAUAUCUAAAAUUAAUGAAGAUAUAAUUAAUGGAUCUUGAAGAUCCAGUGUAAAAUUUGGGAGACAAUUGAAAUAUAUCGGGUCAUUACAAAUAUUUGUUUGAACCAUAACCAAAACAAAAUCUUUAUAAUUAUUAAGUCGAUCGUCUCUAAGGGCUAGGAAAAUUUGACAAUCAACUCCUUUAUGAACUAAUGGUUUAUUUCUAUUUGAACAAGGCCAAAAUGAAUGAAUCUAAAUUUGUGUUUGAGAUAUGCUUUGCUGCUAGACUCUGAAAGUAAAUGCAUAGUUUCAGAUUCUUUUUGAAUGCUUCUAGUUUUUCAUGGGUUUUGAUGCUAAAUGCAGUCUUAAAAUCAGUAAUGCCUACAUGAUAAAUUUUUAUAAGAUUUUCUUUUGGAAUUUUCUAAUUUGAAGAAUCUUUUUCUUCAUGAAUUUCACUAGUUUGAAUUAUAUUAUUGGAUGAUCCUAAACUAAUGGCUUUUCUUAACCAAUUUGCCAUUAAUAAAUUAAAUGAUGCAUUAACUAAAUAUGUCUGAGUUGAAGGGGAACAGUGGGACCACCUAAUUGGGAACACCAACACUCAAAUGGCUUACCAACAACUUAAUUAUUGAGGAAUUUUCCUAGCCCUACUGAAACACAAAACUAUGGUUUUGGGCGAAACAUCAACUUCAAAAACCAAGAAAGUAUUCCAGUUCCACAAAUUAAACCUUCAAUAUUUCAAAAUUAUUAGUGUUGGUUAGCCAUUAGAGUGUUGGUGUUCCCAAUUAGGUGGUCCCACUGUUCCCAUUCAACUCAGACAUAUUUAGUUAAUGCAUCAUUUAAUUUAUUAAUGGCAAAUUGGUUAAGAAAAGCCAUUAGUGUAGAAUCAUCCAAUAAUAUAAUUCAAACUAGUGAAAUUCAUGUAGAAAAAGACUUUUCAAAUUGGGAAAUUCCAAAAGAAAAUCCUACAAAAGUUUUAUCAUGUAGGCAUUAUUGAUUUUAAGACUGCAUUUAGUAUCAAAACCCAUGAAGAAACUAGAAACAUUCAAAAAGAAUCUGAACUAUACAUUUACUUUCAGAGUCCAACAUUAAAGCAUAUCUCAAACACAAAUUUAGAUUCAUUUAUUUUAGCCUUGUUCAAAUAGGAAUAAAACCAUUAGUUCAUAAAGGAGUUGAUUGUCCAAUUUUGCUAGCCCUUAGAGACGAUUGACUUAAUAGUUAUAAAGAUUCUGUUUUGGCUAUGGUUCAAACUAAUAUUUGUAAUAGCCCGAUAUAUUUCAAUUAUUUCCCAAAUUUUACAGUAGAUCUUGAAGAUCCGUUAAUUUUAGAUAUUCAAAUUUUAAAUAAUAAAUUUAAAGAGUUUGCUAGAAAUUUUGCAAUUGUUUUUCGUAUUUAUUUUAGAUUAAUGAGUUCCACCGUUAAUCCAAAAUUUAUACAUGAGGCUUCUUCAAUAGAGGAAACUAUUUUGAUAGAGGUUCAUGCUGAGAAUACUAAAUCAAUAGUUUCCACAGAGACAUCAUAAUGCCAAGGAAGAAGAAUCAGCAAGAAAAACUCAAAGGGUUCCAAAGUUCAAAUGCUUACGAAAUGGAACCAGAUCCAAAACCAAACAAGACAGAACAAAAUCAAUUGACAUCCUCAAACUACUCUAUCCAUUUCAAAGAAAUUUACUCAACUAAGUAAUUUUCCCCCACUUCCAUGUUCAAAAAUUGUUCAAGAGCCUACUUCACAAGAUAUUAUUCCGAACUCAAAAGAAAAAGAACCAAUUACAAAAACACCGACAAAAGGCUUUACCAAAUCUGCAUACAUUACAAAAACCGAAGUAGAAAAUGUAUAUCUCACUAACUUAACAAUUCCUCAAAGUCCACAAAUUAUUCAUUCGAUCAAUCAGAAAACUUCUCAAAAGGUUGCGAAUGGAUACCAGAAAAUCAUUUUAAAAUCAAAGGUUUUAUGAAUUUAUUUUAGUAGAUUAAAACUCUGUUGAAAUCCAACAUAUCAAGGAUUCUUUAGAAAAAAUAAUUUAUUGAAAAUGUAUUUUUAAGAAAAUUAUUUCUUCUGCAAAAUGGGGAGACUCUUAUGCAAAACGCAUUUUUUCAAAAAGAUUUUCCCCACAAAAAUUACUUAUACUAUGAUUACAAAAUGGCCUGGUAUAGAGCAUUUUUAUUCAGACUGUUUAAUUAUUCAUGGUUUUUUAUAUUUAACAAAUAUUGUCCAAAGAAAUAUCCCAUGUGGUUUUAUCAUUGGUGGUAUUUAUUUGGAUCAACUCCUCAAAUUUAUCCAAAAGAAUGCAAUGAGGGUUUCACAACUUUUGUUGCCAAUUCAAAUAAUCAAGUCAACGAAACUCCAGUCAUGUUUCAUGCAGAAUUUAAAAUUCCAUGGAUUCUAUGUUGGAGUUACUGUCUCAAACAACACCUUCCAUAUCCAUAUCCAUAUUCAUUAAUAAGAGAAUUCAAAAUUAAAUGGUGGGACAAAUAUACCUGAGAAAUGUUCUACAAAAAAUGUUAUCUCCUUUUUUAAACUAGUAUAAAAAUGGAAUAUCAGUCCCUAUCAACCUUAAACAAACCUUCACCCUCAAAAGCAACAUCAAGUUUAAACUCUCCUCAAUACAAUAAAAACCCCAAAGUAGAAAGUCUAGAUUCAUUAUCCAAAGCCUAGAAAGCCAUCCUCAAAAGAAUUUAUGAAGAUCCACAGUAUGCAAAGAAAUUAUUAUCUGAAGAUUCUUUUGAUGAGAUAUUAUUUGAGUUUUUAAACGAGUCUUAUGAUCCAAUAUUUGGUGGCCCAUGUGCUCAAGAUCCAUAUGACUUUUAAUAUUGGGCUUACAAAGGUUCAAUUCAAAAAUAAGUCCAUCAACUCAAAAUAAUUCAUCCAGAAGCACAAACGUAACCAUUGACAUAUUCAAAGGCAUCUUCAAUAGUAAUUCAACUAAUUCAAAGCAUCUUCUACAACAUUAUAGUGUAACUUUAAUAAUUAUGUUUGUACUAUUUAUCUUUGCCUUUAGUUUCUUAUUGGAAGAGCAGAUUACAUCUUAUCUCUUCCUUGAUGUAUAAAUUAAGUGUUUAGUUUUCGUUUAAAGAGCAUCUUGUAAUAUUCUUUUGCUUAAGUCUUAGCUCAAAAAUAAAAACAUACCUCCUUCUGUACUUAUCUUUCCAUUAUCAAUAAUAUUGUAAGAUUUUACUCUCUAAAUAUGUUUUAUUUCUCAAUUUUAUUAUAUUACAAUCGAAAAUGUUGAUGAAAAAGUUGUAAGCAUUGUUGGUGAAAGGUUAAGAUGGUAUAAACGUUGUCUGAGGAUGCAAUAUAUCAAUGAACAAACAACAAAGGACGAUUUAUAUAACUUACCAUCGGCAAAUGAAGGACAAGAAAACGAGCUUACUCGUCCGAAAGGAGUAGGUGAUGCAAUGUGCAUGAAUUUGUGGAUUGGUGUUUUUCUGAUAAGUUCAAGAAAUAAUCAGAAGUUUGAAAGAACGCUAGAGGAUUGGUCUUGCAUACCCAUACUUGUGGCACGGCCACUAAUGCAGUUACACGGCAACACGAGAUGGCACUGAAGGCAGAACUUUUGUGUUCACGAAAAGUCUUAAUUCGAACUCGAACUUCUCAUUCAUACAACAUGGACACUAAUUGUAAGACCCUGCUUCUAAACUUUUUUCUGUUAAUUAAUUGAUUUAUUGCAUGAGCUAAAUUAAAUUAAUAUAAAUUAAAUUAACUAUCUGUUGGUGAAUUAUACUAGAUGUUGUGUUUGUCACAAAUUUUGCUAAUAUAAAUUAAAUUAGAUCAAACAGAUAGCUCAUAUUUUAUAAAUUAAACAGAUAGCUAAAACGUCUAGUAUAAUGCACAUAUUUUAUUAAUUAAAUUAACAAAUAGCUCAUGAAUUUGUCACAAUAUAUAUAAAUUAAAUUAACUUUUCGGGUUGGUGAAUGUUGUGUUUCACUAUCCUGACAAAAAACUUUUUGUUAGUGAAAAUAUUUGACUAAAUUAGUUGAUUUAUUGGUGCUGAAAGUUGUAAACUUCAAGGAUUUGAGAUUGUGGGUGGCUUUUUUUUUUUACAAUUAUCUUUAAAAAUCACAUUUACUGGAUUAAAUAUGGGUUGUUUGGUUAGUGGGUAGGUGAAGCCCUAGAGAAUGAUGAUUUUCUAUGAUUGUUGGUAUGAUUAAUUUGAACAAUUGAGGUUAAAGAUCAUUUGGGCAAAUGCCCAUGAGUUCCUGAGCACAUGAUAUGAUAUGGAGAGAGUAGGAAAUCGGUAAAUGUUAAUGGUGGAAGAAAAAAUCUUUAAAACUGAAGGUAAUUAUAGGUUUGAUUAUUGUAUGCUUGUUUAUUGGAUCAAAGAAUCUGAUAAAUGAAUUUUAUAAUUGUUAUGUUUACGUUUUUCAUGAAUUUAUGAUUUAGUUUUUUGUCAGUAAAGUGAAACACAACAAUCACUAACGUACACUUUUUUCUGUCAAACACAACAAGUUCAUGAGCGUUGCAUAAACAGAGCUAGCUAGGCACCUUGCUAUUUUGUUUCUGUUAGUCGUAAUGGGUAUUAUACUAGAUGUUUGCUUUGGAUCUGCUAUAGACUGGCUAAGUAGCCUGUAAACCGAAGCAUGUACUUCAGUUUCUGCUGCCUGCCCCUGCUGUCCACCGUGCCAUCUGCUGGUAUAUCGGAAUCAGCCACACGCACAGUGCUGCUGCCUCCUGUUUUCCACCCGCUUCCAUCAUUCGCAGUUGUGCUGGGUUUUGUGCAAUGUUGCUGUAAAUCUGCCGGUUCAAUUUGGAUCACACGAAGCCCCUUUCUCAGCCCUCGUUUCUGCCUCUGGCGCUGCUGUACUGGGAUGUUUCAACAGCUACAGCCCACCCUUGAGCUUGCUGGUGGUGCUGCAGUAGCUGCUGGUGUUUGCUGCAGUAGCUUCUGGACGAUGUGCAGCCAUUGAUUGAAGCUGAGUCAACGUGCAGGUGCAGGUGCUGCUGCCAACGUGCUGGUGCAACCUCCUACUCCAUAUGUAGAGGUUGCCCUCUGAUCCUCAAUGCUCCAUAUGUUUGUAUCCUAUUAAUGUAAUUAAUUGCUUGGAUAGUUUUUGGUUCAAUUUGUUUGUAUUAAUUGAUUUUGUUAUAUAUUGAUUAUGUUGGUGAUUGAUGGAAAAAUCGUUUGCCAAAACAAUAAUAAUAAUAAUAAUAAUAAUAAUGAUAAUAAUAAUAAUAAUAAUAAUAAUAAUAAUAAUAAUAAUAAUAAUAAUAAUAAUAAUAAUAAUAAUGUUGGGAAAACCUUAAAUGGUUACUUUGAAGACUUUCAGUUUGAGGUAGACACACAAAAGAGUAGUGAAGCCAUCCUUCAUUCUGUUAACAGGCUUAUCGAAUGCAAAGGUGAUGUAAUUGGCCUCUAUGCUUUUGGUGGAUUUCGAAAACGCUUUCAAUCUUGUUGAUAGGAGUGUCAUGUUGUGUGAAACAAGGAUCCAGUACCCUUUUCUCGCUCCUUGGAUUGAAUUCUGCUACUCCAAACCUGCUAAGUUAUACUAUGGUGAAUCUAUUAUUUGGUCUUGCCAAGGUGUCCAAUAAGGUGAUCCCUUAGGCCGUCUGCUUUUUGCCCUUAUUUUGCACCAUUUGGUAUCAUGUCAACUCAAUCUUCAGGCUUGAUAUCUUGAUGAUGGUACUAUUAUUGGUGACACCCUUAUAGUUGCCAAGGUCUUACACAUUAUUAAGGAGGAUGGUCCAUCUCGUGGUUUGAUUGUCAAUGUGGAUAAGACUGAUCCUACCUCAUGCGGAGUAGAGAGCAUGGAGUCUUCCCCCCAACAUCUCUCGCCCUCAUGCGGAGAUAAAACUUCUUGGCGAACCUGUGAGUACAGAUCCUACCUUUUGCCGCGAAUUUUCCCUAAAGAGAGUUUCCAAAACCAUUGAGCUCAUGACAGCUGUUAGCAAACUCCACGACCCUCAAUUUGAACUUCUCCUUCUCCGUAACUGUGCAGGGGUUGGUAGGCUAUCUUAUGCGCUAAGGACUUGUCCUUCAAAUUCGUUUGUGGAUGCACAUGUUAAGUUUGAUCUUGCUUUGCUUGCUUCCUUGGAGAAUAUUAUUACGACCUCGGGACCGGGGUUUG